GAUGAACGCUGGCGGCGUGCCUAAUACAUGCAAGUCGAGCGAACAGACGAGGAGCUUGCUCCUUUGACGUUAGCGGCGGACGGGUGAGUAACACGUGGAUAACCUACCUAUAAGACUGGGAUAAUUUCGGGAAACCGGAGCUAAUACCGGAUAAUAUAUUGAACCGCAUGGUUCAAUAGUGAAAGACGGUUUUGCUGGCACGUAUAGAUGGUUCCGCGCCGCAUUAGCUAGUUGGUAAGGUAACGGCCUACCAAGGCGACGAUGCGUAGCCGACCUGAGAGAGUGAUCGGCCACACUGGAACUGAGACACGGUCCAGACUCCUACGGGAGGCAGCAGUAGGGAAUCUUACGCAAUGGGCGAAAGCUUGACGGAGCAACGCCGCGUGAGUGAUGAAGGUCUUCGGAUCGUAAAACUCUGUUAUUAGGGAAGAACAAAUGUGUAAGUAAAUAUGCACGUAUUGACGGUACCUAAUCAGAAAGCCACGGCUAACUACGUG
This 497-nucleotide ribosomal RNA is filed under the name uncultured bacterium. RNAcentral describes it as "partial 16S ribosomal RNA". It matches the Rfam family "Bacterial small subunit ribosomal RNA", at positions 28 to 507 of the family's 1533-position model. The record is from RNAcentral.